Molecule: non-coding RNA, 199 nt
Filed under: unclassified sequences
Description: manA RNA
Rfam family: manA RNA
About the family: manA RNA has been located in 5'UTR regions of genes of mannose or fructose metabolism. Has been proposed as a cis-regulatory element and as a riboswitch candidate for his complex secondary structure.
Source: RNAcentral
UGGAACCUGAUCAGUUCCAUAGGGUGUGACUGAAUAACUCUGUUGGAAUUAGGCGGAGUAAUGUAAAUGGUUAGAGGUGGUACUCGCCUUCCCUAAAGGAAGUGAACCCGAACCAAGGGAACCAUUGUUGUUAUGUACUAAUUUUCGCUUUAGCGAUUCCCAUAACUUGAGGGUACGAAGUAGUCCCUCCACCCAACCC